Molecule: long non-coding RNA, 846 nt
Organism: Vigna radiata var. radiata (mung bean)
Lineage: Eukaryota; Viridiplantae; Streptophyta; Magnoliopsida; Fabales; Fabaceae
Exons: 3
Source: RefSeq, a predicted model, not a curated record
UAUAUUUUCUGUCCUCAUUUCUUUUCUCUUUAUUUUUUUACUUCUUUCUUGGAGCUGGGUCGAGAAAUCCAAAGAAAUUGGCGAAAGAGAAUUCGGGGUCGACGGCAUGCUUAAAUUCGAAAGCUCGUUCUUCUUUUUUCUUCUUUAUUUUCUUCUCUUGUUCUUUCUUUGUUUUCAUUUUUUUUUCUUAUCUAAAACUGUAGGACCACAGGGGAAAUAGCGACAGACAUUAAACGCUGGGAGAGAGAUGAAGGCUUGGUUUUAAAGUGGGUAAAGGGAAGAUAGAAUCAGAGGAUGGUGAGCAUGAUUUUAGGGUUUCGGGGAUCCGAAUUGGGGAUUUAGAUGAAACCUGAAAAAGGGGCUAGAGAAGGAAGGAUAGAGACACCUAAUCAAGCAUUUUGAGAAACCUAAGGGUGAAAGAGAGGACUGAGAAAGUCACGGUGUUCGGUGGGAGAGUGCAGGAAUCAAAAUCCAGGGUGCUGCCACCAUUAUGAUCAACUACAUUGAUGAAAUCCAAGCUCAAGGAAGGAUUUUGAUGCAGAGAGAGAAAAAAGAAUUAGAAGAUUUUAAAAGGUAAUUGGAGACACAAUAGAAGUUAAAGCAGUGCAGAGAUCGUCUAACAUAAAUGGCUGUUAUGGAAUCCCUUGGGUUAAUUAUAAGGGUUGGCAAUGAGAUUUGUACAUUUUGGUAAGAUACAAUUUGUAGUUUCCUAUAUCAGUAUAUAUUGAUUUGCUCUUUAUUGUCUAGAGCAAAACAAUUUAUUUCAGGUCAUGGACAUACUUGGCCCAAUCUUUGGGAUGUAUGGAAUUCUCUAGCCAAUCAUAAGAUUCAGAUUCUUCCUUGUUA